This 550-nucleotide ribosomal RNA is filed under the name uncultured bacterium. RNAcentral's name for it is "bacterial SSU rRNA". It matches the Rfam family "Bacterial small subunit ribosomal RNA", at positions 472 to 1020 of the family's 1533-position model. The record is from RNAcentral.
ACGGUACCCUCAAAGGAAGCACCGGCUAACUCCGUGCCAGCAGCCGCGGUAAUACGGAGGGUGCGAGCGUUGUUCGGAAUUAUUGGGCGUAAAGCGCGUGUAGGCGGUCUGAUAAGUCUGAUGUGAAAGCCCCGGGCUCAACCUGGGAAGUGCAUUGGAAACUGUCAGACUUGAAUACGGGAGAGGGCAGUGGAAUUCCUAGUGUAGGAGUGAAAUCCGUAGAUAUUAGGAGGAACACCGGUGGCGAAGGCGGCUGCCUGGACCGAUAUUGACGCUGAGACGCGAAAGCGUGGGGAGCAAACAGGAUUAGAUACCCUGGUAGUCCACGCCGUAAACGAUGAGUACUAGGUGUUGCGGGUAUUGACCCCUGCAGUGCCGCAGCUAACGCAUUAAGUACUCCGCCUGGGAAGUACGGUCGCAAGACUAAAACUCAAAGGAAUUGACGGGGGCCCGCACAAGCGGUGGAGCAUGUGGUUUAAUUCGACGCAACGCGAAGAACCUUACCUGGGCUUGACAUCUGCGGAACCUGGUGGAAACACCGGGGUGCCUU